UACAGAGGUCUCAAGCGUUGUUCGGAAUCACUGGGCGUAAAGGGUGCGUAGGCCGCACGGUAAGUCAGGUGUGAAAGCCUGGAGCUCAACUCCGGAAUUGCACCCGAUACUGCCGUGCUUGAGGACUGGAGAGGAGUCUGGAAUUCACAGUGGAGCAGUGAAAUGCGUAGAUAUUGUGAGGAACACUAGUGGCGAAGGCGAGACUCUGGACAGUCCCUGACGCUGAGGCACGAAGGCCAGGGGAGCAAACGGG
Molecule: ribosomal RNA, 253 nt
Filed under: uncultured bacterium
Lineage: Bacteria
Description: partial 16S ribosomal RNA
Rfam family: Bacterial small subunit ribosomal RNA
Source: RNAcentral